This 555-nucleotide ribosomal RNA is filed under the name Alpheus christofferseni. RNAcentral describes it as "partial small subunit ribosomal RNA". The stretch from base 193 to 555 matches the Rfam family "Microsporidia small subunit ribosomal RNA", at positions 752 to 1212 of the family's 1311-position model. The record is from RNAcentral. Lineage: Eukaryota; Metazoa; Arthropoda; Malacostraca; Decapoda; Alpheidae.
GAGCGAUUGAAAGGGUGUUGUGAUUGAGGUGGUGAGAGAUCCGGUAGAGAUCGACUUUGCUAAGUUGAAAGGGUGAAAUUUAAUAGUCGUCGGGAGGGUUGGUAUCGUAAGGAGGUUCUGAUUCUUUAAAGUUCAAGACAUAAAAUAGGAUUAGAUACCCUACUAUACUUGAUUGAAAUAAUUGAGAUCUUUGAGUAGUAAACAGAUAUAGGCUUGAAACUCAAAGGAUUUGGCGGUAUCUAAGUCUAGUUAGAGGAACUUGUGCAAUAAACGAUAGUCCGCGAGCAUCUAGCCUUGUCUUGUAGUCGUCAGUCUGUAUACCGCCAUUAUUAGGUAGUCCUUGUAGGGAGUUACUGAAAUUAAAGGAGUUUAAGUAUAUUAGGUCAAGGUGCAGCUUAUGAUAAGGGUGACGUGAGUUACAUUGAGAUAAAAGCAGACGGAUGGACUGUGGGAGAUAUAGCAGUCUUGAAGGUGGAUUUAAUUGUAAGGGGUGUAAACCGCGCGUGCCUGAUAGGGGCUCUUAGAUAUGUACACAUCGCCCGUCGUUCUCACUCU